Molecule: long non-coding RNA, 337 nt
Organism: Callorhinchus milii (elephant shark)
Lineage: Eukaryota; Metazoa; Chordata; Chondrichthyes; Chimaeriformes; Callorhinchidae
Exons: 3
Source: RefSeq, a predicted model, not a curated record
GUUCACAGAGCCCAAUCCACAGCACAAAACAGGAGUCUAUUUCAAGCGAACUGGAUGAAAGCUUGGAAUUAUCUAGCCAGAAAGAAGAAUGGGAGAAUGGGGAUGAAGACAAUAACUCGUCUGGUUGGAAUUCCAUGACUUCGGGAAAAACGCAGGAGAAUGAUGAUCAAUGGGAAGAUCAGUUGCUGGAUCAACAGGAUCAGUUGGGAAAAGAGAUGGAAGAAGCCAGGCAAAUGAUCUCCAUUUUGCAAGCUUUGCUACUGAACGGUUCGCUGCCUGAAGACGAACAAGAGGGAUCCUUUCCCCUGUCCGAGCAGGGAGCCUGCUCAGAGGAGCA